AAUUUUGGACAAUGGGGGAAACCCUGAUCCAGCCAUCCCGCGUGUAUGAUGAAGGCCUUCGGGUUGUAAAGUACUUUUGGCAGAGAAGAGAAGGUAUCCCCUAAAACGGGAUACUGCUGACGGUAUCCGCAGAAUAAGCACCGGCUAACUACGGGUCAGACACCGCGGUAAUCCGUAGGUUGCAAGCUGUAAUCGGAAUUACUGGGCGUAAAGCGUGUGUAGGCGGUUCGGAAAGAAAGAUGUGAAAUCCCAGGGCUCAACCUUGGAACUGCAUUUUUAACUGCCGAGCUAGAGUAUGUCAGAGGGGGGUAGAAUUCCACGUGUAGCAGUGAAAUGCGUAGAUAUGUGGAGGAAUACCGAUGGCGAAGGCAGCCCCCUGGGAUAAUACUGACGCUCAGACACGAAAGCGUGGGGAGCAAACAGG
RNAcentral lists this ribosomal RNA (424 nucleotides) under uncultured bacterium. Its description in RNAcentral is "partial 16S ribosomal RNA". It matches the Rfam family "Bacterial small subunit ribosomal RNA", at positions 360 to 776 of the family's 1533-position model. The record is from RNAcentral.